GAUGAACGCUGGCGGCGUGCCUAAUACAUGCAAGUCGAGCGGACGGACGAGAAGCUUGCUUCUCUGAUGUUAGCGGCGGACGGGUGAGUAACACGUGGAUAACCUACCUAUAAGCCUGGGAUAACUUCGGGAAACCGGAGCUAAUACCGGGUAAUAUUUUGAACCGCAUGGUUCAAAAGUGAAAGACGGUCUUGCUGUCACUUAUAGAUGGAUCCGCGCUGCAUUAGCUAGUUGGUAAGGUAACGGCGUACCAAGGCAACGAUGCAUAGCCGACCUGAGAGGCUGAGCGGCCACACAGGAACUGAGACACGGACAAGACUCCUACGGGAGGAAGCAGUAGGGAAGCUGCCGCAAUGGGCGAAAGCCUGACGGAGCAACGCCGCGUGAGUGAGGAAGGGAUUCGGAUCGUAAAACUCUGUUAUUAGGGAAGAAGAGAUGUGUAAGUAACUGUGCACAUCUUGACGGUACCUAAUCAGAAAGCCACGGCUAACUAUGUG
This 497-nucleotide ribosomal RNA is filed under the name uncultured bacterium. RNAcentral's name for it is "partial 16S ribosomal RNA". It matches the Rfam family "Bacterial small subunit ribosomal RNA", at positions 28 to 507 of the family's 1533-position model. The record is from RNAcentral.